UUUAAGCUGCCUUGGCGAAGAGACAAACACAUUUCCUAAUUUCUAGAAAAACUAUUAAUUCGUAACGUUUUAACAAUGUUUAAAAAAAAAAUUGGAUCAAAUGUAGCACAAAUACCUAAGAAUGGGUCUAAAAAUGAUAAAUCCAAAAAGAUGGAAACUAAAGUGAAAUCUUGUAAAUGUAUACCACUGAGCUGUAAAUGCAAACUCCGAAACGCUGUUAAACUGCUGGCAAAGCGGCGAUAUCGCAACUUAUCGAAUGGCAUUCUUGUUUAAGUGUUACAUUGUUAAAAAAUAAUAUAUAAUAAAAAGUAAACAAUGAAAAAUAAAAA
Molecule: long non-coding RNA, 329 nt
Organism: Anastrepha obliqua
Lineage: Eukaryota; Metazoa; Arthropoda; Insecta; Diptera; Tephritidae
Exons: 2
Source: RefSeq, a predicted model, not a curated record